UAGGGAAUCUUCCACAAUGGACGCAAGUCUGAUGGAGCAACGCCGCGUGAGUGAAGAAGGUCUUCGGAUCGUAAAGCUCUGUUGUUGGUGAAGAAGGAUAGAGGCAGUAACUGGUCUUUAUUUGACGGUAAUCAACCAGAAAGUCACGGCUAACUACGUGCCAGCAGCCGCGGUAAUACGUAGGUGGCAAGCGUUGUCCGGAUUUAUUGGGCGUAAAGCGAGCGCAGGCGGAAUGAUAAGUCUGAUGUGAAAGCCCACGGCUCAACCGUGGAACUGCAUCGGAAACUGUCAUUCUUGAGUGCAGAAGAGGAGAGUGGAACUCCAUGUGUAGCGGUGGAAUGCGUAGAUAUAUGGAAGAGCACCAGUGGCGAAGGCGGCUCUCUGGUCUGCAACUGACGCUGAGGCUCGAAAGCAUGGGUAGCGAACAGGAUUAGAUACCCUGGUAGUCCAUGCCGUAAACGAUGAGCGCUAGGUGUUGGGG
Molecule: ribosomal RNA, 481 nt
Filed under: uncultured bacterium
Lineage: Bacteria
Description: partial 16S ribosomal RNA
Rfam family: Bacterial small subunit ribosomal RNA
Source: RNAcentral